This 254-nucleotide unclassified non-coding RNA is filed under the name Mytilinidion sp. RNAcentral describes it as "partial contains 5.8S ribosomal RNA, internal transcribed spacer 2, and large subunit ribosomal RNA". The record is from RNAcentral. Lineage: Eukaryota; Fungi; Ascomycota; Dothideomycetes; Mytilinidiales; Mytilinidiaceae.
AACGCACACUGCGCCCGCCAGCACUCUGGCGGGCAUGCCUGUCCGAGCGUCAUUUACCACCCUCGGGCCCCCUGGGGGGCCCGGUGCUGGGGGCACGGCCGAGGCCGCCCCCUAAAUGCAGUGGCGACCCCGCCGCGUCCUCCCCUGCGCAGUAGCACAAUCUCGCACCGGAAGCGCGGAGGCGGUCACGCCUGGAAACGCCCCAACUCAACGCAGUUGACCUCGGAUCAGGUAGGAGUACCCGCUGAACUUAA